UCCCAUAUAAUAUAUAUAUACAUAUAUUAUAAUUAUACAGGUAUAUUAUUAUUAUUAUUAUUAUACAUGUAUACAUGUACAUGUAUUUUUAAACUCUCAAGAAAUGCCUUUUAAUAUGGGCCUAAGCAAAUAUAUAUACAUAUGCAAAAAGUUUUGAGGGUCCCCUUGAUCUGAGGCCCGGGACAAUCGCCCUCGGAGCCUAGGCCUAAGGCCAGCCUUGAUGAGUUAUUUGAAAUCUAUUUUGUUUUCAUCAUUUCCUUUUUAUUCAUAUUUGGGCAUACAUAAUUGUAAUAGUCUAAACAAACAAUUUAACUUUAUAAUGUUAUUCAAAUCCCUAAAUUUGGAAUCACUCCAUCCAAAUCCUAAUGCAUUAUGUGACUCGCAUUCUUUACAUGAAAAUUUCUCUUCAAGGAUGCAAACUCUACUUUACAUGCGUAACACAUUAUUGGUUCUUAUCGUACAUAGGACACUAGCUAGAUUUUUUUUUUUUUUUUUUUUGGGGUCUGAAGGACACUAGCUAGAUUUUUACUUCUAUUUUUUUGGUAUAAAGGACGCUAUAUAUUACGUGAUUCACAUUCUUGAUCAUUAAUUUUAUUUGAAAAUUUCUCUUCACGGAUGCAAACUCUACUUUACAUGCGCAUCACAUUUUUUAUUCUUAUCGUACGACACUAGCUAUCUUUUUCAUUCUUUUUAGUGAGAAUAAAGUAAGUAUAUUAGCAAGUCGUAAUAUUUAUGGCAAGCCAAUCUUCAUGAUGAGCAAAACAUUCUCUUUUUUCAGAGUGUUGUCCAAAACAACAUAUAUGCUACUGCAUGAUUAAAGUUACAAG
RNAcentral lists this long non-coding RNA (827 nucleotides) under Prunus persica (peach). RNAcentral's name for it is "long non-coding RNA (PPER_LNC007184)". The record is from RNAcentral. Lineage: Eukaryota; Viridiplantae; Streptophyta; Magnoliopsida; Rosales; Rosaceae.